GCGCGGUCUGGGCGGUGAAGCGCCGCGUGAUCCGGUCUCGCUGAUGGGGCUCGAAUUCCCCAAUCGCGUC
Molecule: transfer RNA, 70 nt
Filed under: Cobetia sp. AM6
Lineage: Bacteria; Pseudomonadati; Pseudomonadota; Gammaproteobacteria; Oceanospirillales; Halomonadaceae
Description: tRNA-Arg
Source: RNAcentral